RNAcentral lists this long non-coding RNA (1170 nucleotides) under Monodelphis domestica (gray short-tailed opossum). Its description in RNAcentral is "lncRNA (ENSMODG00000045829.1)". Lineage: Eukaryota; Metazoa; Chordata; Mammalia; Didelphimorphia; Didelphidae. The record is from RNAcentral.
CCCCUUUCACAGCCACCUACCUCACGAGUCCACAAUGGGGCCUCCAACAAGGGACUGAGAACAAGGGUCAUAGCUUUCCUUCUGGGCCGAUAGUCUCAGCUCAGUGCAUUUGCCACCCCCUAACCUGUUCCCAGCUUAUCUUAGGAUGAUCAGAAUCUCUCCUGCCAGGCUUUCUGCACAAGGUCACCUACAUGUUCCAGUGGUUGCUCCUAGCCUUGUGUACCCCCUGCCCAGGAAUGGAAAAAAAAAUAUUUUAAAGAGCCAGUCUUACCUGUUUUCCAUCUUCCACCACUGAGGACAGAACAGGAAAAUCAAAGAAUCACCCAUCAGAGCUGUGAUAGUCAAGGACCACCCCAUACCUGAGCAAGAACUCCCUUUAUGACAUAUUUGACAAGUGAGCUUUCAGGCUCCAGUGAAGUCUCCCCCUCUGGGCCAGCACAUUCCACUUGGUGAUAAGUUGUCAUUGUUAGAAUGAUGCUCCCUUACACGGAGUCUAAAUUUGUCUCUCUGUCACUUGUCAGUCAGUUGACAAGCAUUUAUAAAGCAAUUACUAGGACCUGUGCUAAGUGCCAGGAAUACAAAGAAAGACAGAAACAUGGGCCUUCACCUGGAGGAGUUUAUGCUAUGAUGGGAGAGAUCUACAACAGGGAAAGAAGGGUGAAAUGUAGGCUUGUCUGGAUCCAGCUUUCAAGCUUUUCCCAACAAAUCAACUUUUACACGAGUGCAAUCCAAUUGGUAUUUAUUACGACAACCAUCCUAGCCCUAUUGCCUCUCUAGGUCAUUCACAAGAAAUGCUGCCACAUUUCAAAGUUGCCUAGCUUCCUCAAGUCCCACAGUUGGCAUGAAGAGAGCUCACUUCUGCUUCCAGAAUGUCCCCCACAUCAGCUCUUUCCUGGAAGCUACCACACUAAUCACAAGAGUUCUGGUAUUUGUCUUGGACUUCAAGUAUGUGAAGGCCUUUCCCAUAGAGGAGUAAUUCUGUGUGUUCUAUUUAACAAUGAGUAGAAAAGGCAAAGAGGCAAAUUAAGGCUUGAGUCGAGGAAAAACGUCCUAAUCAGAGUCAGUCUAAAACGGAAUGGUCUGCUUUAAGAGGCACCUGUCAGGUAUGUUGUAAUGGUGAUUCUUUUCUCAGCUAUGGGUCAGACUAAAUGACCUCUGAGAUUCUUUCCA